This 72-nucleotide transfer RNA is filed under the name Candidatus Kaiserbacteria bacterium RIFCSPLOWO2_01_FULL_52_36. RNAcentral describes it as "tRNA-Arg". It matches the Rfam family "tRNA". From Rfam's summary of the family: Transfer RNA (tRNA) molecules are approximately 80 nucleotides in length. Their secondary structure includes four short double-helical elements and three loops (D, anti-codon, and T loops). Lineage: Bacteria; Candidatus Kaiseribacteriota. The record is from RNAcentral.
GCUCCCGUAGUGAAAUGGAUAUCACAGCAGUCUUCGGAACUGCCGUUCCAGGUUCGAAUCCUGGCGGGAGCA